RNAcentral lists this long non-coding RNA (1394 nucleotides) under Erythranthe guttata (spotted monkey flower). Its description in RNAcentral is "long non-coding RNA (EGUT_LNC001079)". The record is from RNAcentral. Lineage: Eukaryota; Viridiplantae; Streptophyta; Magnoliopsida; Lamiales; Phrymaceae.
CCGUCAAAGAAGAAGAUUAUUUUCAUAUUUGGGCAACGACAUGUUCGUUCGUGGAGAUUUCAUCGAGAUAGAUUGAACACUCAACACUGUAUCUAAUUUCGGAUACGGAUCGAAGAAUCCUAUUUUUUUUAUUCGAUUUCAUGGAGAUAGGUUAGUAAUUCUGUUUUUCCUCUUAUAGUUUAUCCCUAAUUUUAGUUGAAUUUGUUAUGCCGCAGUAAAUCUGAGUGCGCCAUGACGAAGAAGCUCGAUAGUCAUUACCCCGCCGUAAGUUUUUUUUUUCUCUCCUAUUUGUUUUUUACCUUUUUGACUUUCCUUCUGUUGUUGCCCUUUUUUUUUUAUCAUUGGGUUUGAAUUGUGCUCGAAUUAAAAAACUGAAAAUUCAAUAUGUGCAACUUGUUUGUUUGGGGUUAAUGAUUUUAUUGAUGAUAAUAUUUCUAGUUUAUAGUUGAUUUUAAAUUUUAUAGAUUUGUUGAGAUGCAUAGAGUAUCUAUUGUAUUUUACUAUUUAUUUAAUUUCUUCUUGUAUUUAAUUUAGUUUAUAUAAUAUAUUUUUCACAUUUGCUAAUGAUCUAGUAAAUGAACUAAAGCUUAAGAUAAUAAAUUUGUAAGUUUGAGUGCUUCGUUCUGAUUGCGAUUGUUGUUUGUGCAAAUUUAAUGGUUUUGUUUUUAAUAGUCACAUAUGUUUUUUUGAGAAAAUUAGGUGUAUCUUAUUUGUAAGGUAAAAAAACUUUUCAUCUUAAGCAAUGUAUAAUGGUAAUUAUAAUUAUUGUAUUAACAUUAAAAUUCAAGGACAUAAUUUUUAAUGCUUGGAUUUUUUAAUGUUUGAUGUCCAUUAACCUAUUUUGAGUACAUAGUGUUGCUAGGAGAUGCUAAAACAUCAUAAAGAUGCUGGAUGAACAUUCUUUUAUAUUUUGAUUAAUGUAGUUUUUUUUUAUUAAAAAAUAUUAAUCAUGGAACCUGAGCUGAUAUACUUGAUAUUUAUUUGUUUGGAAUAACAAUACUGAUGAUUAUUUUAACAGUAGUUCCUAUUUUAUAAGUAUACGUUCUAGUUUUGUUGGCAGCAUAUGGAACUUGAGUGGCUUACAUGUAUUCUAUAUAGUUUUACUUUUAUGUUUCUCUAUAAGAUUUGAUUACUGUACCAAUUGACCAUAUGCACAUAACCUGCAUAACAAAAUGUUCAUAAAUGUAUUUUAUGAAGAACAACUUUCCGUGAGUACUUAAGGUUAAUGUAUUUUCCGUGUUUGCUUUUUUAUCUGUUUAUAAAGGAACAACUUUUAAUAGACGAAAUCAAAGAGGUGAAUCGGAAGGUUCUCUUUUGAUGUGGGAAAGACGUGAUUUCUUGUUUCAGGGAAACUUCACUCAUUUUGAUGAUAAAGCAAACUUUGUUCAGCAAGA